RNAcentral lists this ribosomal RNA (465 nucleotides) under uncultured bacterium. RNAcentral describes it as "partial 16S ribosomal RNA". It matches the Rfam family "Bacterial small subunit ribosomal RNA", at positions 28 to 507 of the family's 1533-position model. The record is from RNAcentral.
GACGAACGCUGGCGGCGUGCUUAACACAUGCAAGUCGAACGGAAAGGCCCUGCUUGCAGGGUACUCGAGUGGCGAACGGGUGAGUAACACGUGGGUGAUCUGCCCUGCACUUCGGGAUAAGCCUGGGAAACUGGGUCUAAUACCGGAUAGGAGCCAUCUUUAGUGUGAUGGUUGGAAAGUUUUUUCGGUGUAGGAUGAGCUCGCGGCCUAUCAGCUUGUUGGUGGGGUAAUGGCCUCCCAAGGCGGCGACGGGUAGCCGGCCUGAGAGGGUAGACGGCCACAUUGGGACUGAGAUACGGACCAGACUCCUACGGGAGGCAGCAGUGGGGAGUAUUGCACAAUGAGGGCAAGCCUGAGGCAGCGACGCCGCGUGGGGGAUGACGGCCUUCGAGUUGUAAACACCGUUCGCUAGGGACGAAGCUUUUUGUGACGGUACCUAGAUAAGAAGCACCGGCUAACUACGUG